GGAGGCAUCCUUGGGAUACCACCCUGAUCGUAUCUAGGUUCUAACUUGGUACCGUGAUCCGGUACGAGGACAGUGUCAGGUGGGCAGUUUGACUGGGGCGGUCGCCUCCUAAAGAGGAACGGAGGCGCCCCAAGGUUCCCUCAGAAUGGUUGGAAAUCAUUCGAAGAGUGCAAAGGCAGAAGGGAGCUUGACUGCGAGACCUACAAGUCGAGCAGGGACGAAAGUCGGGCUUAGUGAUCCGGUG
Molecule: ribosomal RNA, 244 nt
Filed under: Paenibacillus polymyxa
Lineage: Bacteria; Bacillati; Bacillota; Bacilli; Caryophanales; Paenibacillaceae
Description: partial 23S ribosomal RNA
Rfam family: Bacterial large subunit ribosomal RNA
Source: RNAcentral